UUUAACAAGCCAAUGCCCUGAUAUUCAGCACUGUCAUUUAGUCUGUCAAUAAAGUCCGAGAUCUGGUCCCAGUCGAUGUCUGCAGUUGAGAUAUAACGAGGAUCUGAGGCAGCAUCCUCUCCUAUCCAUAGGUCUACAAGACUUGGCCUAGAUCCAGAGGUAGAAGGGUGAUCUGCAAUAUGAACCGCUGGAGAGUGGAAGAAAGUGAUCAAAGUUCCCAAAGCAAUGAUCACCAGCACAAUUUUCAGAGUAGUUAUCUUGCAGUUCAAAUUCCUAUGGAUGGGAACUUGCAGGGCCUUUUCAACAUCUCUAAGACCCUUAUCUCUAAAGGACUUUCUUCUGGAUGUCUCUUCUACUGAAGCAGAGAGUCGGUGCCUGGGCUCAACGAUACUAGGGGAGGAUCCUCUCAUCUUCUCGAGAAUCAGUAGCCACUUGAGGAAGGCAGCAUCUGUGUGGUAUUUACUUCAUUUUCAUAGGAAAAUGGAAACUGAAUUUUGGAAGGGAAACCGCUAUUCCAGGAGACGCGUUGCGAGAGAAGAAUCAAAGAUAAGUUGAUUUGGAAAUUGA
This 567-nucleotide unclassified non-coding RNA is filed under the name Hevea brasiliensis (rubber tree). The record is from RNAcentral. Lineage: Eukaryota; Viridiplantae; Streptophyta; Magnoliopsida; Malpighiales; Euphorbiaceae.